AUUAAUUUUAUGCUUGCAUAAAUGAUUUUUGGAUUCGGAGCGAGUGGCGAACUGGUGAGUAACACGUGGGUAACCUGCCCCGAAGCGGGGGAUAACAUUUGGAAACAAAUGCUAAUACCGCAUAAUUAGUCAGAACCGCAUGGUUCCGACUUGAAAGAUGGCUCUGCUAUCACUUCGGGAUGGACCCGCGCCGUAUUAGUUAGUUGGUGAGAUAAAAGCCCACCAAGACGAUGAUACGUAGCCGACCUGAGAGGGUAAUUGGCCACAUUGGGACUGAGACACGGCCCAGACUCCUACGGGAGGCAGCAGUAGGGAAUCUUCCACAAUGGACGAAAGUCUGAUGGAGCAACGCCGCGUGAGUGAUGAAGGGUUUCGGCUCGUAAAACUCUGUUGUUAAAGAAGAACAAGCAUGAGAGUAACUGUUCAUGCUUUGACGGUAUUUAACCAGAAAGCCACGGCUAACUACGUGCCAGCAGCCGCGGUAAUACGUAGGUGGCAAGCGUUGUCCGGAUUUAUUGGGCGUAAAGCGAGCGCAGGCGGUUUUGUAAGUCUGCUGUGAAAGCCCUCAGCUCAACUGAGGAAGUGCAGUGGAAACUACAAAACUUGAGUACAGAAGAGGAAAGUGGAACUCCAUGUGUAGCGGUGAAAUGCGUAGAUAUAUGGAAGAACACCAGUGGCGAAGGCGGCUUUCUGGUCUGUUACUGACGCUGAGGCUCGAAAGCAUGGGUAGCGAACAGGAUUAGAUACCCUGGUAGUCCAUGCCGUAAACGAUGAAUACUAGGUGUUGGAGGGUUUCCGCCCUUCAGUGCCGCAGCUAACGCAUUAAGUAUUCCGCCUGGGGAGUACGACCGCAAGGUUGAAACUCAAAGGAAUUGACGGGGGCCCGCACAAGUGGUGGAGCAUGUGGUUUAAUUCGAUGCUACGCGAAGAACCUUACCAGCUCUUGACAUCUUCUGCCAACCUAAGAGAUUAGGCGUUCCCUUCGGGGACAGAAUGACAGGUGGUGCAUGGUUGUCGUCAGCUCGUGUCGUGAGAUGUUGGGUUAAGUCCCGCAACGAGCGCAACCCUUAUUAUUAGUUGCCAGCAUUAAGUUGGGCACUCUAGUGAGACUGCCGGUGAUAAA
This 1123-nucleotide ribosomal RNA is filed under the name uncultured bacterium. RNAcentral's name for it is "bacterial SSU rRNA". It matches the Rfam family "Bacterial small subunit ribosomal RNA", at positions 47 to 1162 of the family's 1533-position model. The record is from RNAcentral.